CCUUUCCAACGAAAAAAAAUCCUUUUCAUUUCAUUCUCUCAUAUCCUGCAUUCAAUCAAUAGCUAGAAAGACAGGGGUUAAACGUGAAUCAGCAAACACGUUUGGACUUGUUUCGAACAACACAUGUGACCGUUGGAAGUGGACUAUAGGGCUAAAUUUCCUCGGACAAAAAGACACACCAAAGCAGUUGAAUACUUUUUUUCUCGACUUUAAUAAAACAUCAUAUUUUCAAAAGGAUAGAGGAAGUCUCUUAACCUACACCUCCGUGGUAUGAGUUUGGGUGAGUGUGAAAUUUUAAGUUAAUAAUUAGUUCUUGAGGUUGUUAAUUAAUCCGAUAAGCUUCUGAAACGAUGUAAUAUUAAGACACAUAUUAAAAGUGUUAUCCAUUUUUAGUUGAAGAAGCUAUUUUGUCCCUUUUCUACACAGAAUUCAUCAUUGUGGAACGAAAAUGAUGAGAGAGAGAGAGAGAGAGCGAGAUUAGUCCAUUACAUUUCAACAAUUGAAUAUGUUUGUGUGAGUAUUCAUUAAUUUCUACUUCUCCACGGCGCAUUUACUGCGAAAAAUAUAAAACGAGUUGGCUAGGCUGAAUCUCUCUCAUUCUGCUAUCGUCUGGUGAUUUGGAAACACUUGAUCUUUAGAGCCGGUCGUUGUUGAACUUAAUUUAUUGAUUGCCAUGCAGCUGUCCAAGCAGGGUGUUCUGCUCUCCCGUACCGAUCAAAUUUGUUGCCUUAAACACGCACAUUGAGCGUUCGUUUCUGGCAACAAAUUUAAUAGAAAUUACAGUGGUUGGUAUCUUUACGGGGCUGGACAUUGGCUGCGAGUUCCUUUUCCGGGGAUGUGCUACCCAUGGCCGGAUCCGCCAAAUGAUUCCUCCAUUGGCACCGACUUGCGGGCGGGCUGAGGCGCAGUGUUAUUGUGAUGCUGACCGAAACUGUUCACGGUCGGUCCCAGUAAAUGGGAAACCUUUAGAAUAAGAACUUGAUUAUGUUGUGGUAGUGAAUAAAGUCUUAAAAAAUGUCAA
Molecule: long non-coding RNA, 1021 nt
Organism: Armigeres subalbatus
Lineage: Eukaryota; Metazoa; Arthropoda; Insecta; Diptera; Culicidae
Exons: 2
Source: RefSeq, a predicted model, not a curated record